CAGGUUCGAAUCCUGCACGACCCACCAAUUUAACAUCAAACUCAGAUGUUAAGCGUGAAGGAUAACGUUGCGUCAGCAACGGCCCGUAGGGCGAGCGAAGCGAGUCAUCCUGCACGACCCACCA
RNAcentral lists this small RNA (124 nucleotides) under Klebsiella michiganensis. RNAcentral's name for it is "partial RtT sRNA". It matches the Rfam family "RtT RNA", at positions 38 to 130 of the family's 130-position model. From Rfam's summary of the family: This family represents a bacterial cis-regulatory element known as RtT RNA. The exact function of RtT is unknown although it is thought that it may be involved in changing the cellular response in relation to amino acid starvation. The record is from RNAcentral. Lineage: Bacteria; Pseudomonadati; Pseudomonadota; Gammaproteobacteria; Enterobacterales; Enterobacteriaceae.